UCGAGUUAGGGUCUUCUAGGCCCGACCUCCCAACCCUUUGUUUAUCAGACCUCUGUUGCUUCGGCGGACCCGUCUUGAUUGACCGCCGGAGGACCGCCCCCGCGGCGCCCUCUGGCCAGUGUCUGCCGGUGGCCUAAUUUCUCCAACUCUAGUUAAACAUGAUGUUAUGUCUAAGUGAUUUAUCAAAUCAAAAGCAA
RNAcentral lists this unclassified non-coding RNA (197 nucleotides) under Cladophialophora emmonsii. RNAcentral describes it as "ITS1". The record is from RNAcentral. Lineage: Eukaryota; Fungi; Ascomycota; Eurotiomycetes; Chaetothyriales; Herpotrichiellaceae.